Long non-coding RNA from Homo sapiens (human), 1537 nucleotides. Ensembl annotates it as PPP1CB divergent transcript. Its record names the gene PPP1CB-DT. NCBI's taxonomy places the organism in Eukaryota, Metazoa, Chordata, Mammalia, Primates, Hominidae. The record is from Ensembl.
ACAGGAGACUGUUUAGGCCAUGCCUGGCAUCAGUAACUCAGGCUGUUUCCCACACUACAGGCCAGCACUGUGGGCUCUCAGUUUAUUGGGAAAUGGAAAUAAGAGGGAAGGACAAAAGUCCACUGGGAAGCAGACUGGACAGAAAGGAACUCUGAGCAGCUAAACUCUGACUAAUCCCAGGGUAUACCUGCGUUUUCUCUUCACCAGAUUUUUCCUACCAGGAAGAGCAUGUGCUGACCAACAGACAUGAAUUUCAGCCUGGUAGUUACAACAUUCACAGACAAACUGCGGCCUGGACCAGCUGGUGAAACAUAAUUCUGAAUCCUGCCCACAGCCUUCGGUGGUUUUGGAUGAAAGGCCAGCGCCUUGGGAGCCCUGCGUUUGAUUUCAAGUUUUAAGGCCGGCACUGGUGGAGCAAUGAAUGGUGAAAGCUCUCCCCUUAAAGGAGCACAGUUGCCUUUAGGUGACUGCUAACUCAGGCUUUUGCUGAGGACAGUGUUUACUUUGUGAGCUUAAUGACAGGGCUGGCUUUCUGGGAGUGUUGCAAUGAAACAGACUCAGACACAGGCCAUCAUGGGCCUCCUCCCUAGCAAGGCCGCCACGGCUGGCAUCUCAAGAGCAGUCCGUUGAACUUGGGAUUUGGGUGUGAGACACAGUUUCAUCAGAAGAAUUUAAACCAAAGUCUACAUUUGCCCUCUAGAUAAAUGUGUGUGUUCAGCAGCAACCACAACUCCUUGCCUCAUUCUCUUGGUUGAUUAUGUGACUGUGAGAAGAAAAGCAAAAGCAAAAAUGCGAAGCGUAGCUAUGAUGCUAUUUUAGUUAAAAAUAUUCUGGUAGAAUUUGAAGGUACCAUAGAGAUUACCUACAGAUGGAAAAAACUGAAGGUCAGAGAUGGGAAGUGCCUUGUCCAAGAUCACACAGCAUAUAAGGGAAGAAGUAGGACUGAAAUCCAGAUUUCUCUGUUCCUGUUCCUGUUUUCUCUUUUCUUUUUUUGAGACAAGGUCUCACUCUGUCGCCCAGGUUGGAGUGCAAUGGUGCAAUCUCGGCUCACUGCAACCUCCAACUCUUAGGCUCCAGAGACCAUCCUACCUCAGCCUCUUUAGUAGCUGAGAUCCUGGCUAUUUUUUAUUUUUGGUAGAGAUAGGGUUUCACCAUGUGGCCCAGUCUUGUCUUGAACUCCUGAGCUCAAACGAUCCACCCACCUUGGCCUCCCAAAGCGUUGGGAAUAUAGUGUGAGCCACUGCACCCGGCCAGGUCCUGGUCUCUUUUCAUUAUUAUACAGCUGUCAACAAUCAUGGAGAGUUCUUUUUCCCUUUUGUUGGGUUCUUGUUCCUUUGCAAAGUCUAUAAAGAACCAAGAUGAUCCAGGAAAUUCAGGGAGUCCUCAUUCACUUCCAAAGGCAGUUUGUUGUCUGUUGGCUGUGCUGUAUGAAUUGCUGUUUCAAUUAAGUUUUUCAACAUUUCCUAUGAAGGCAUGCAAAUGACCACUGAUUCUAAAUAAACCCAUUUAGGUAUUCAGGGUUUAUAAAUAUAGAGAA